This 329-nucleotide ribosomal RNA is filed under the name uncultured eukaryote. RNAcentral's name for it is "partial 18S ribosomal RNA". It matches the Rfam family "Eukaryotic small subunit ribosomal RNA", at positions 1470 to 1796 of the family's 1831-position model. The record is from RNAcentral.
CCCUUAGAUGUUCUGGGCCGCACGCGCGCUACACUGACGAUGUCAGAGAGUGUCUCCUUCACCGAGAGGUGUGGGUAAUCUUUUAAACAUCGUCGUGCUGGGGAUAGAUCAUUGCAAUUUUUGAUCUUAAACGAGGAAUGCCUAGUAAGCGUGAGUCAUCAGCUCACGUUGAUUACGUCCCUGCCCUUUGUACACACCGCCCGUCGCUACUACCGAUUGAAUGGUUUAGUGAGAUCUCUGGAUUGACGCUGGCUAGGGGGCGACCCUUGGCCAGACUGCUCGAGAAACUGCUCAAACUUGAUCAUUUAGAGGAAGUAAAAGUCGUAACA